Molecule: long non-coding RNA, 402 nt
Filed under: Olea europaea (common olive)
Lineage: Eukaryota; Viridiplantae; Streptophyta; Magnoliopsida; Lamiales; Oleaceae
Description: long non-coding RNA (OEUR_LNC014376)
Source: RNAcentral
GGAAACUUUAGAUGAGAGGAGAUUAGAGGCGCAAAUGUAACUGGAAUGCUAUCAAGUUUGGAUAGCAAAGUCGUUUAGCUAAAAGGGCAACCAAAAUCAUUUCAAGUUGGAGAUGUCAUACUUUUUGCACGUUUAUGCCAACCAUAAUUAAGAGAAAAAUAGGGUCAAGUUCCAACUUAAAUGGGAUGAUCCAUUUCUUGUUACUCGUACAUUUACCAAUCAAGCAUACAAGAUCGUCGACAAAAAUGAACUGCAAAUUAGACCUAGCAACGGGAAAUUCUUAAAGUGUUUUUACACUUGAAUCCCUUUAUUUUGUAAAAUUUUCAUUGUAAUAAAAUGUAGUACUCCUAGCUAGUAAGAAGAUAAAAUGUAAACUACCCUAAAUAAACAAAAAAAAAUUAU